Cyanistes caeruleus (blue tit) is the source of this 488-nucleotide non-coding RNA. The record is from RefSeq and is a predicted model, not a curated record. NCBI's taxonomy places the organism in Eukaryota, Metazoa, Chordata, Aves, Passeriformes, Paridae.
CACCGAGCUGGUGGGAGCCCUGCUGAGGAAAUCCUGGAACAGAAGAUCAGCACAAUGGGGAUGUCACGUAGCUUGAAGCAGCCGUGUAGUGAAGAGCAGAGGCUGCCCAGGACAGCCGUGGGUAGGACAUGAAAUGCACAAGCUGCCUUUCAGCUCGUGCAUCCCAGUGUCUGACCUGGUGUGAAUUACUGGCACAGAGAGGUUUCUGUGGUAAUCUAACACAAAUUGAGGCCACAUUACAAAAUGCAACAUUGCAAACUCGUUAUCUUAACUUCCUGUGCUUUCUCAUUUGCAGGAGAAGCGAGCUGUCCUGCCCCAGAAAAGUUAUGUAGAAUUAUUUGUGGUUGUGGAUCACAACAGGUUUUUGAUGAAGAAUUCUGAUCCUGCUGCAGUGCAAAAGGAAACAGUGGAGCUGAUUAAUUAUGUUGAUGGGAUGUAUAGAGCAUUAAACAUCCAGAUUGUUUUGGUUGGAUUAGAGAUUUGGACAG